GGCCUCGUGGCGCAACGGUAGCACGUACGACUCCAGAUCGUAAGGUUAUCCGUUCAAAUCGGGUCGGGGUCA
RNAcentral lists this transfer RNA (72 nucleotides) under Pyricularia oryzae. RNAcentral's name for it is "tRNA-Trp". It matches the Rfam family "tRNA". From Rfam's summary of the family: Transfer RNA (tRNA) molecules are approximately 80 nucleotides in length. Their secondary structure includes four short double-helical elements and three loops (D, anti-codon, and T loops). Lineage: Eukaryota; Fungi; Ascomycota; Sordariomycetes; Magnaporthales; Pyriculariaceae. The record is from RNAcentral.